RNAcentral lists this long non-coding RNA (242 nucleotides) under Lathyrus oleraceus (garden pea). RNAcentral describes it as "Pisum sativum (pea) long non-coding RNA (PSAT_LNC024147)". The record is from RNAcentral. Lineage: Eukaryota; Viridiplantae; Streptophyta; Magnoliopsida; Fabales; Fabaceae.
CAAAACCAACUUAUGAUAAAAUCACCAAAGAAUGAAACGUUGAUCUGUGAAAAGAAAAGAGAAACAAUCAAGUUGGGAAGAGGGUGUCUUUUAAAAAUAAAAGAAAAGAAAAGAUACAAUCAAGAAAAAAAAAAGAAAAAGAAAAGCAAAUAAAAGAAUAAACAUCAAAGGAAAAAUUAUUGCAUUAAAAAGAAUGGACGGGUGAAAAAGAGAAUAAACAUAAGAAAGGAAGGAACAAGUAG